This 475-nucleotide ribosomal RNA is filed under the name uncultured archaeon. Its description in RNAcentral is "bacterial SSU rRNA". It matches the Rfam family "Archaeal small subunit ribosomal RNA", at positions 342 to 817 of the family's 1478-position model. The record is from RNAcentral.
CGAAACCUUCACAAUGUGCGAAAGCACGAUGAGGGAAUCCCAAGUGCUUGCUCGUAAGAGUAAGCUGUUUCUUUGUUUAAAAAGCAUAGAGAGUAAGGGCUGGGUAAGACGGGUGCCAGCCGCCGCGGUAAUACCUGCAGCUCAAGUGGUGACCAUUAUUAUUGGGCNUAAAACGUCCGUAGCCGGUUUAGUAAAUGCCUGGGUAAAUCGUGUAGCUUAACUAUACGAAUUCCGGGUAGACUGCUAAACUUGAGACCGGGAGAGGCUAGAGGUACUCCUGGGGUAGAGGUGAAAUUCUGUAAUCCUAGGGGGACCACCAGUGGCGAAGGCGUCUAGCUAGAACGGGUCUGACGGUGAGGGACGAAGCCCUGGGGCGCAAACCGGAUUAGAUACCCGGGUAGUCCAGGGUGUAAACGAUGCUUGCUAGAUGUUAGUUGGGCUCCGAGCCCAUACNNNCNCGCNAGCNGNCGCGNUA